UCAAAGAUUAAGCCAUGCAUGUCCAAGUACAAGCUCGUCCCGAGCGAAACUGCGGAUGGCUCAUUAAAUCAGUUAUGGUUCAUUGGAUCGAGUACCCCCCGACAUGGAUAACUGUGGUAAUUCUAGAGCUAAUACAUGCGUCCAAGCGCCGACCUCCAGAAGGCGUGCUUUUAUUAGGAACAAGACCAGCCCGGCCUCGGCCGGCAACACUGGUGAACUCUGGAUAACACAGCCGAUCGCACGGUCUUUGCACCGGCGACGGAUCCUUCGAAUGUCUGCCCUAUCAACUUUCGAUGGUACGUUAUGCGCCUACCAUGGUCGUCACGGGUAACGGAGAAUCAGGGUUCGAUUCCGGAGAGGGAGCCUGAGAAACGGCUACCACAUCCAAGGAAGGCAGCAGGCGCGCAAAUUACCCACUCCCGACACGGGGAGGUAGUGACGAAAAAUAACAAUACAGGACUCUUUCGAGGCCCUGUAAUUGGAAUGAGUACACUUUAAAUCCUUUAACGAGGAUCCACUG
RNAcentral lists this ribosomal RNA (520 nucleotides) under eukaryotic picoplankton environmental sample. RNAcentral's name for it is "SSU rRNA". It matches the Rfam family "Eukaryotic small subunit ribosomal RNA", at positions 37 to 550 of the family's 1831-position model. The record is from RNAcentral.